GAGAAUAUGCAGUAGAAGAUGUAAGUAAAAGAUUUCCAGGCAUAUAGAACAGACUUGAAAUUCGGAACAUAAAAAUAUUACAGUCAUAACAUUAAGAAUUUGGAUCACACUUUGAAUCUAACUUUUGACUUAUUUAUUCAUUCACGAGUUUUGUGUAGAAAUGAAAGUUAGGCCGUUAUGCAGUGAUUGCAUGUGGAUCAUCUUGAUCAGGUCGACUCCGUAGCACCAUGGAUAGAGGAUUGUUCCAUUUCAUUGUGCAAUCGAUUAGGCCCACUUGGAGUAACUCUAAGCAUGCGAACGGCACGUGAUAAUUUUGUAACACGAAGAGAAGAAGUUGAAGUCACAUCUGCAUUCACCACCAUUGUUGCAAAGAGUGUUGUCACCAGAAUAGCUACUAAAAUUACCACUACAAAAGGCUUUGUUCUAAUUGCCAUCUCUCUCAGUCUGACACACUAUAUAUG
Molecule: long non-coding RNA, 461 nt
Filed under: Arachis ipaensis
Lineage: Eukaryota; Viridiplantae; Streptophyta; Magnoliopsida; Fabales; Fabaceae
Description: long non-coding RNA (AIPA_LNC002406)
Source: RNAcentral